This 556-nucleotide ribosomal RNA is filed under the name uncultured bacterium. RNAcentral's name for it is "partial 16S ribosomal RNA". It matches the Rfam family "Bacterial small subunit ribosomal RNA", at positions 355 to 902 of the family's 1533-position model. The record is from RNAcentral.
UGGGGAAUUUUGGACAAUGGGCGAAAGCCUGAUCCAGCAAUGCCGCGUGUGUGAAGAAGGCCUUCGGGUUGUAAAGCACUUUUGUCCGGAAAGAAAUCCUUGGCUCUAAUACAGUCGGGGGAUGACGGUACCGGAAGAAUAAGCACCGGCUAACUACGUGCCAGCAGCCGCGGUAAUACGUAGGGUGCAAGCGUUAAUCGGAAUUACUGGGCGUAAAGCGUGCGCAGGCGGUUUGCUAAGACCGAUGUGAAAUCCCCGGGCUCAACCUGGGAACUGCAUUGGUGACUGGCAGGCUAGAGUAUGGCAGAGGGGGGUAGAAUUCCACGUGUAGCAGUGAAAUGCGUAGAGAUGUGGAGGAAUACCGAUGGCGAAGGCAGCCCCCUGGGCCAAUACUGACGCUCAUGCACGAAAGCGUGGGGGACAAACAGGAUUAGAUACCCCUGGGUAGUCCACGCCCUAAACGAUGUCAACUAGUUGUUGGGGAUUCAUUUCCUUAGUAACGUAGCUAACGCGUGAAGUUGACCGCCUGGGGAGUACGGUCGCAAGAUUAAAACUC